GCCCAGUGAUAGCCCCCAGUAUGAGUUGAACUGCUGACAUAGUGCCAUGCUUUGACUUGGACACCCUCUUCAAGGCUGUGGCCUCAAUUCUUAGAAUGGGUAAUGCAGUGGAGCCGGGUGCUGAUUGUAGUCACAGAAGAUGGUUAUGUGUGGGUGCUGAGCUGCAUAUCAAAGAGCCCCAUCACUUCACUUACACUUUGAAGCAAGAAGGCAGCAGGAGACCCAAAUGGAGUUCCAGGCUCCUAGGUUCAGCAUGGCCCAGACCCAGCUAUUGUGGCCAUUUGGGAAUUGAACCAGCAAAUGAAGAUCUCUGUCUCUCCCUCUCUGUAACUCUGCCUUUCA
Oryctolagus cuniculus (rabbit) is the source of this 342-nucleotide long non-coding RNA. RefSeq lists it as uncharacterized. The record is from RefSeq and is a predicted model, not a curated record. Lineage: Eukaryota; Metazoa; Chordata; Mammalia; Lagomorpha; Leporidae.